GAUGAACGCUGGCGGCGUGCCUAAUACAUGCAAGUAGAACGCUGAAGGAGGAGCUUGCUCUUCUGGAUGAGUUGCGAACGGGUGAGUAACGCGUAGGUAACCUGCCUGGUAGCGGGGGAUAACUAUUGGAAACGAUAGCUAAUACCGCAUGACAACAGUUAUUGCAUGAUAACUGUUUAAAAGGGGCAACUGCUCCACUACCAGAUGGACCUGCGUUGUAUUAGCUAGUUGGUGAGGUAACGGCUCACCAAGGCGACGAUACAUAGCCGACCUGAGAGGGGGAGCGGCCACGCUGGGACUGAGGCACGGCCCAGACUCCUACGGGAGGCAGCAGUAGGGAAUCUUCGGCAAUGGACGGAAGUCUGACCGAGCAACGCCGCGUGAGUGAAGAAGGUUUUCGGAUCGUAAAGCUCUGUUGUAAGAGAAGAACGAGUGUGAGAGUGGAAAGUUCACACUGUGACGGUAUCUUACCAGAAAGGGACGGCUAACUACGUG
RNAcentral lists this ribosomal RNA (495 nucleotides) under uncultured bacterium. RNAcentral's name for it is "partial 16S ribosomal RNA". It matches the Rfam family "Bacterial small subunit ribosomal RNA", at positions 28 to 507 of the family's 1533-position model. The record is from RNAcentral.